RNAcentral lists this ribosomal RNA (253 nucleotides) under uncultured bacterium. Its description in RNAcentral is "partial 16S ribosomal RNA". It matches the Rfam family "Bacterial small subunit ribosomal RNA", at positions 524 to 776 of the family's 1533-position model. The record is from RNAcentral.
UACGUAGGGUGCAAGCGUUGUCCGGAAUUAUUGGGCGUAAAGAGCUCGUAGGCGGUCUGUCGCGUCUGCUGUGAAAAUCCGGGGCUCAACCCCGGACUUGCAGUGGGUACGGGCAGACUGGAGUGUGGUAGGGGAGACUGGAAUUCCUGGUGUAGCGGUGGAAUGCGCAGAUAUCAGGAGGAACACCGAUGGCGAAGGCAGGUCUCUGGGCCACUACUGACGCUGAGAAGCGAAAGCAUGGGGAGCGAACAGG